UUUCCUGAGUUUACACUGUACAGGUCUCGGUGCAGUGCAAGAUUAUACAAUUUGGGGUUUGCACCCCAGAGAGGCUGUGCACUUGAGUGCUGGGCAACUCUGUAGCUGAAGCCUUCCCAGGCAGAGCUGAUCUCAGUGUCUGUGUCUCUCUGCAGCUGGGUGUGUCCCUACCUGUGUGUGAUGGAGGAGGUUUGAGGGCCUGGCUCAGCAGGACUGCGUGAGGGAGCCCAGGCGGGUGGAACCGGCGGGCUCAAUGGUACCCCAGAACAUCAAGUGCAACCCAGAGAAGGGGGCAACCCAUCACAGUUGCUACACUUAAAUGUGUCUCCUGACGACGUGCUGACAAUGAGGAAGCCAGGAGAGAGAUGGGGGUGCCUUGAGGUGUUUGUCCCUCCUUUCUAUAGUUUCAGUCACCCUCUC
Molecule: long non-coding RNA, 420 nt
Organism: Trachemys scripta elegans
Lineage: Eukaryota; Metazoa; Chordata; Testudines; Emydidae
Exons: 2
Source: RefSeq, a predicted model, not a curated record